Molecule: microRNA precursor, 102 nt
Filed under: Marmota monax (woodchuck)
Lineage: Eukaryota; Metazoa; Chordata; Mammalia; Rodentia; Sciuridae
Source: RNAcentral
AGUGGGAUAGCUGGGUCAAAUGGUGGUUCCAUUUUCAAUUUUCCAAGAAAUCUCCAUACUGUUUCCAUAUUGGCUGCACCAAUUUGCAGUCCCACCAGCAAU